AGGAGACGCUGGCGGCGUGCCUAACACAUGCAAGUCGAGCGGAGUCGAUCGACGGAAGCCUUCGGGCGGAAGAUGGUUGACUUAGCGGCGGAUGGGUGAGUAACGCGUGGGCAACCUGCCUCGAAGACCGGGAUAACAGCCCGAAAGGGCUGCUAAUACCGGAUGUGGUCAAGGAUCCGCAUGGAUUUUUGAUUAAAGGGGAAACCCGUUUCGAGAUGGGCCCGCGUCCUAUCAGCUAGUUGGUGAGGUAAAAGCUCACCAAGGCGACGACGGGUAGCCGGCCUGAGAGGGUGACCGGCCACACUGGAACUGAGACACGGUCCAGACUCCUACGGGGGGCAGCAGUGGGGAAUCUUCCACAAUGGGCGAAAGCCUGAUGGAGCGACGCCGCGUGAGCGAAGAAGGCCUUCGGGUUGUAAAGCUCUGUCUGGAGGGACGAAGGAAGUGACGGUACCUCCGGAGGAAGCCACGGCUAACUACGUG
RNAcentral lists this ribosomal RNA (483 nucleotides) under uncultured bacterium. RNAcentral describes it as "bacterial SSU rRNA". It matches the Rfam family "Bacterial small subunit ribosomal RNA", at positions 33 to 507 of the family's 1533-position model. The record is from RNAcentral.